AACGAACGCUGGCGGCAUGCCUAACACAUGCCAGUCGAACGAGACCUUCGGGUCUAGUGGCGCACGGGUGCGUAACGCGUGGGAACCUGCCCUUAGGUUCGGAAUAACUCCCCGAAAGGGGUGCUAAUACCGGAUAAUGUCUUCGGACCAAAGAUUUAUCGCCUUUGGAUGGGCCCGCGUUGGAUUAGCUAGUUGGUAGGGUAAAGCCUACCAAGGCGACGAUCCAUAGCUGGUCUGAGAGGAUGAUCAGCCACACUGGGACUGAGACACGGCCCAGACUCCUACGGGAGGCAGCAGUGGGGAAUAUUGGACAAUGGGCGAAAGCCUGAUCCAGCAAUGCCGCGUGAGUGAUGAAGGCCUUAGGGUUGUAAAGCUCUUUUACCCGGGAUGAUAAUGACAGUACCGGGAGAAUAAGCUCCGGCUAACUCCGUG
This 432-nucleotide ribosomal RNA is filed under the name uncultured bacterium. RNAcentral's name for it is "partial 16S ribosomal RNA". It matches the Rfam family "Bacterial small subunit ribosomal RNA", at positions 29 to 507 of the family's 1533-position model. The record is from RNAcentral.